This 253-nucleotide ribosomal RNA is filed under the name uncultured bacterium. RNAcentral's name for it is "partial 16S ribosomal RNA". It matches the Rfam family "Bacterial small subunit ribosomal RNA", at positions 524 to 776 of the family's 1533-position model. The record is from RNAcentral.
UACAGAGGUCUCAAGCGUUGUUCGGAUUCAUUGGGCGUAAAGGGUGCGUAGGCGGCGCGGUAUGUCGGGUAUGAAAUCUCGGAGCUUAACUCCGAAACUGCAUUCGAUACUGCCGUGCUUGAGGACUGGAGAGGAGACUGGAAUUUACGGUGUAGCGGUGAAAUGCGUAGAUAUCGUUAGGAAGACCAGUGGCGAAGGCGGGUCUCUGGACAGUUCCUGACGCUGAGGCACGAAGGUCAGGGGAGCAAACGGG